CUCACGACGAACGCUGGCGGCGUGGAUAAGGCAUGCAAGUCGAACGGGAUGGGGAUUCAAGCAAUUGUGUCCCCUGAGAGUGGCGAACGGGUGAGUAACACGUGGGUAACAUACCUCCGGGUGGGGGAUAACCCAGGGAAACCUGGGCUAAUACCGCAUACGGUCUAUCUGCUCAUGGCAGACUGAUCAAAGGUGGGGAUCCUUCCGGACCUGCCGCCGGGAGAUUGGCCCGCGGCCCAUUAGCUUGUUGGCGGGGUAACGGCCCACCAAGGCGACGAUGGGUAGCCGGCCUGAGAGGGUGUCCGGCCACCCUGGGAUUGAGAUACGGCCCAGACUCCUUCGGGAGGCAGCAGUCGAGAAUCUUCCCCAAUGGACUAAAGUCUGAGGGAGCGACGCCUCGUGAGGGAUGAAGGCCCUUUGGGUUGUAAACCUCUGUUAGGGGGAAAGAACAGCAGUGGAAGCAACAUGUCCAUUGCCUGACGUUACCCCCAGAGAAAGCUCCGGCCAACUCCGUGCCAGCAGCCGCGGUAAUACGGGGGGAGCAAGCGUUGUCCGGAGUCAUUGGGCGUAAAGGGCGUGUAGGCGGUUUGGCAAGUCGAAUGUGAAAUCCCACGGCUCAACCGUGGAACUGCGUUCGAAACUGCCUUACUUGAGUGCGGGAGAGGUGCGCGGAAUUCCUGGUGUAGCGGUGGAAUGCGUAGAUAUCAGGAAGAACACCGGUGGCGAAG
Molecule: ribosomal RNA, 728 nt
Filed under: uncultured bacterium
Lineage: Bacteria
Description: bacterial SSU rRNA
Rfam family: Bacterial small subunit ribosomal RNA
Source: RNAcentral